UACGGAGGGUGCAAGCGUUGCUCGGAUUCAUUGGGCGUAAAGGGUGCGUAGGUGGCGGGGUAAGUCAGGGGUGAAAUUUCGGAGCUUAACUCCGAAACUGCAUUUGAUACUGCCUUGCUUGAGGACUGGAGAGGAGACUGGAAUUCACGGUGUAGCAGUGAAAUGCGUAGAGAUCGUGAGGAAGACCAGUGGCGAAGGCGGGUCUCUGGACAGUUCCUGACACUGAGGCACGAAGGCCAGGGGAGCAAACGGG
RNAcentral lists this ribosomal RNA (253 nucleotides) under uncultured bacterium. RNAcentral's name for it is "partial 16S ribosomal RNA". It matches the Rfam family "Bacterial small subunit ribosomal RNA", at positions 524 to 776 of the family's 1533-position model. The record is from RNAcentral.